CAGGCCUAACAAUGCAAGUCGAGCUGCAAGCGCACCUUCGGGUGCGUGGAAAGUGGCAGAGGGUGAGUAACGCGUGGGAACGUACCCUUCGGUUCGGAAUAACCCGGGGAACUCGGGCUAAUACCGGAUACGUCCGUAAGGAGAAAGAUUUAUCGCCGAGGAUCGGCCCGCGUCCGAUUAGCUUGUUGGUGGGGUGGGGGCCCACCAGGCGACGAUCGGUAGCUGGUCUGAGAGGAUGAUCAGCCACACUGGGACUAGACACGGCCCAGACUCCUACGGGAGGCAGCAGUGGGGAAUAUUGGACAUGGGCGCAAGCCUGAUCCAGCCAUGCCGCGUGAGUGAAGAAGGCCCUAGGUUGUAAAGCUCUUUCAGCGGGGAAGAUAAUGACGGUACCCGCAUAAGAGCCCCGGCUAACUUCGUGCCAGCAGCCG
Molecule: ribosomal RNA, 431 nt
Filed under: uncultured bacterium
Lineage: Bacteria
Description: bacterial SSU rRNA
Rfam family: Bacterial small subunit ribosomal RNA
Source: RNAcentral